UACGGAGGGAGCUAGCGUUAUUCGGAAUUACUGGGCGUGAAGCGCACGUAGGCGGCUUUGUAAGUUAGAGGUGAAAGCCUGGAGCUCAACUCCAGAAUUGCCUUUAAGACUGCAUCGCUUGAAUCCAGGAGAGGUGAGUGGAAUUCCGAGUGUAGAGGUGAAAUUCGUAGAUAUUCGGAAGAACACCGGUGGCGAAGGCGGUCUGCUGGGCAGUUGCUGACACUGAGGCGCGACAGCGUGGGGAGCAAACAGG
RNAcentral lists this ribosomal RNA (253 nucleotides) under uncultured bacterium. Its description in RNAcentral is "partial 16S ribosomal RNA". It matches the Rfam family "Bacterial small subunit ribosomal RNA", at positions 524 to 776 of the family's 1533-position model. The record is from RNAcentral.